This 406-nucleotide ribosomal RNA is filed under the name uncultured bacterium. RNAcentral describes it as "partial 16S ribosomal RNA". It matches the Rfam family "Bacterial small subunit ribosomal RNA", at positions 30 to 526 of the family's 1533-position model. The record is from RNAcentral.
AUUGAACGCUGGCGGCAGGCCUAAUACAUGCAAGUCGAACGAGUGGCGGACGGGUGAGUAAUGUCUGGGAACCUGCCUGAUGGAGGGGGAUAACUACUGGAAACGGUAGCUAAUACCGCAUACCAUCGGAUGUGCCCAGAUGGGAUUAGCUAGUCGGUGGGGUAAAGGCUCACCUAGGCGACGAUCCCUAGCUGGUCUGAGAGGGUGACCGGCCACACUGGAACUGAGACACGGUCCAGACUCCUACGGGAGGCAGCAGUAGGGAAUAUUGCGCAAUGGGCGAAAGCCUGAUGGAGCCAUGCCGCGUGUAUGAAGAAGGCCUUCGGGUUGUAAAGUACUUUCAGCGGGGAGGCGGUACCCAAAGAGGAAGCACCGGCUAACUCCGUGCCAGCCGCCGCGGUAAUUC